GAUGACGACCGGCGCACGGGUGCGUAACGCGUAUAGAACCUACCUUUUACAGGAGAAUAGCCCAGAGAAAUUUGGAUUAAUGCUCCAUAGUAUUGUUAUAUGGCAUCAUUUAACAAUUAAAGAUUUAUCGGUAAGAGAUGGCUAUGCGUUCUAUUAGUUAGUUGGUAAGGUAACGGCUUACCAAGACAUCGAUAGAUAGGGGUCCUGAGAGGGAGAUCCCCCACACUGGUACUGAGACACGGACCAGACUCCUACGGGAGGCAGCAGUGAGGAAUAUUGGACAAUGGGCGGGAGCCUGAUCCAGCCAUGCCGCGUGCAGGAAGACUGCCCUAUGGGUUGUAAACUGCUUUUGUAUAGGAAGAAACGACAUUACGUGUAAUGUUUUGACGGUACUAUAAGAAUAAGGAUCGGCUAACUCCGUGCCAGCAGCCGCGGUAAUACGGAGGAUCCAAGCGUUAUCCGGAAUCAUUGGGUUUAAAGGGUCCGUAGGUGGGUUUAUAAGUCAGUGGUGAAAGUUUGCGGCUUAACCGUAAAAUUGCCAUUGAUACUGUAGAUCUUGAAUGCUUGUGAAGUGGUUAGAAUAAGUAGUGUAGCGGUGAAAUGCAUAGAUAUUACUUAGAAUACCGAUUGCGAAGGCAGAUCACUAACAAGUUAUUGACACUGAUGGACGAAAGCGUGGGUAGCGAACAGGAUUAGAUACCCUGGUAGUCCACGCCGUAAACGAUGGAUACUAGUUGUUUGGCGUAAGUUGAGUGACUAAGCGAAAGUGAUAAGUAUCCCACCUGGGGAGUACGUUCGCAAGAAUGAAACUCAAAGGAAUUGACGGGGGCCCGCACAAGCGGUGGAGCAUGUGGUUUAAUUCGAUGAUACGCGAGGAACCUUACCAGGGCUUAAAUGUAGAUUGACAG
Molecule: ribosomal RNA, 908 nt
Filed under: uncultured bacterium
Lineage: Bacteria
Description: bacterial SSU rRNA
Rfam family: Bacterial small subunit ribosomal RNA
Source: RNAcentral